GAUCAUGGCUCAGGAUGAACGCUAGCGGCAGGCCUAACACAUGCAAGUCGAGGGGCAUCACAGGUAGCAAUACCGGGUGGCGACCGGCGCACGGGUGCGUAACGCGUAUGCAACCUACCCAUAACAGGGGGAUAACACUGAGAAAUUGGUACUAAUACCCCAUAACAUCAGAACCGGCAUCGGUUUUGGUUGAAAACUCCGNGUU
Molecule: ribosomal RNA, 205 nt
Filed under: uncultured bacterium
Lineage: Bacteria
Description: partial 16S ribosomal RNA
Rfam family: Bacterial small subunit ribosomal RNA
Source: RNAcentral